UACGUAGGGUGCUAGCGCUGUCCGGAAUUACUGGGCGUAAAGAGCUCGUAGGUGGUUUGUCGCGUUGUUCGUGAAAACUCACGGCUUAACUGUGAGCGUGCGGGCGAUACGGGCAGACUGGAGUACUGCAGGGGAGACUGGAAUUCCUGGUGUAGCGGUGGAAUGCGCAGAUAUCAGGAGGAACACCGGUGGCGAAGGCGGGUCUCUGGGCAGUAACUGACGCUGAGGAGCGAAAGCGUGGGGAGCGAACAGG
RNAcentral lists this ribosomal RNA (253 nucleotides) under uncultured bacterium. RNAcentral describes it as "partial 16S ribosomal RNA". It matches the Rfam family "Bacterial small subunit ribosomal RNA", at positions 524 to 776 of the family's 1533-position model. The record is from RNAcentral.